Molecule: transfer RNA, 73 nt
Filed under: Marmota monax (woodchuck)
Lineage: Eukaryota; Metazoa; Chordata; Mammalia; Rodentia; Sciuridae
Description: tRNA.Thr
Rfam family: tRNA
About the family: Transfer RNA (tRNA) molecules are approximately 80 nucleotides in length.
Source: RNAcentral
UUUGGAUGUAGCUCAGUGGUAAAGUGUUUAUCUUGUGUGCAUGAAACCCUGGGUUUGAACCCCAGUUCCAAAA